ACAUGAGGUAGCCUUUCUAUUAUUUUUUUGUCAACGAUAUUUUAUCAAGACUACCUAUGUAAAGCAAAAAGCAACGGCAUCAAAACCGUUGCUUUUUCGUUG
Streptococcus sobrinus TCI-77 is the source of this 102-nucleotide non-coding RNA. NCBI's taxonomy places the organism in Bacteria, Bacillati, Bacillota, Bacilli, Lactobacillales, Streptococcaceae. The record is from Rfam.